UGCAAGAUGGAGAUGGAUUAUGUCAACCCUAAAAAACGACUCAUCGACAAGGUGUUGAGGUGAUGUUGUUGAAAGGGGUCAAACAUUCGUCAAGUUAUAUACAACAAAAGGCCCGUGGCAACGCACGGGCCUUGCAAAAAUAACCGAAGGUGCGCUUUCUAUGGAACAUUGAAAUAUAUUUUUCCUUGGGUGAAAUAUGUAUAGUAUUUUUGGUUACUCAGCCAUAGAUGUUAUGUUUGUUGUGUUUCAGAUCCCGUCAGUUAGUUCAAGCAGCAUGAUUGUUUCUUACUCAUGGUCUGUAAAUUGUGGGACUAUUGUUUAUUUCUGUGACGCAGCAAAAUGCAAUUGGAAUGUGAGUCUAGACAAGGGAGUUAUUGCCUUGAAAGACUAUCAUUUUUUUCUUAUCUGCGGGUGAGGAAGUUCGAGAAGAACAAGAAGAUGUCAGAGUUUACGACGCAGUUGGACUCCAUUGGGUUUAAGAUAGCCGAGAUCACUGUGGAUGGCAACUAAAUGUAAGACCAUUGAUCGAUUCUUCUCCCCCUCCUGAAAUCCUUCUUGCGAGCUUCUAUGUUGCAUCCAUGUACAACCAAUUGUUUUAUUGAUGUGUGCUCUUGUUCAUUUCUUAACUACGAUUAUGGUGUGGUGAUCUAGAGCUAUUUGGAAGAGCUCAGGGGCGAGGAUGCUAGAGAGAGAUCUGAUGCAGCAAGAGACUCCUUUGUGGCCGACUUGCUUUAGAUGUUGAGAAGAAUGCCAACAAAGGGUCUGACAAAAAACAAAUCCCAUGAGAUAUCAUAGGACGACAAGAAUGUUGGAUUCUCGGAGAUCUAAGGAUCUCAUAACUUGUUCGCCUGCUUCUUUUUUGAGUUUUCAGUUAUCCUUUAUUUCCUUGCUUAUGUCAUCUCUUUGAUAUUUGUCUCUUUCUAAAAUGAGAAACAAGGGCUUUAUGUCCUUUUCCUUUUCCAUUAAUGGAUUUCACACAACAAUAAUAGGAAAUAGUUUCAGUGUUCUCAACUCUUUGUUGUUGCUUUUCAGAGAGUAUUUUCCUCGGAUGGGUAUUAUCUGACCCAUGUUUUCUUUGUCAAUGAAAAAUCGGUAAGCAUUUUACAAUUGAAUGUCUGUUUUUUGUACAUCAUGGUUACAAUUUGCGGUUAAAUUACAAUUAAUUAUUUUUUAUUCAACUAAAAGUAACACUAUUUUAUUGUGACAUGAAUGUGUAUAGUUCAUCUAAAUUUGGCCCAAUACUUGAAAUAGCUGAUGUUCAAGUUGUCAGGUAGUAUCGAUUUUCAGGAUUUAUACAUCAAAGGUUUUAAAACAUUACUAUAUUGCAUACCAAGUAUAAUGUUAUGCAUAGAAAGAAUAUGAAACUAAUUAGAUGAGUUCCCGUGUCACUAAUUUGUGAUCUUAUUACAUUGUUCAGGUUCUGAUUUCAUUUGUUGAGCUAUUUUAAUUUCUUUUCAUGCGAGCAAUGAAAACACUUUAUGACUGGUACUAUGUAGAAAUUUUAAUCCGUUGGUUGUGGAAUCCUGGUGGUGAUUUGGAUUUCUUCACUAAAUUCUGAUAGACUUCCAUUUUGGGGGCUGUCUGUUUUGACUCCAUGUGCUAUUUUUUGUUACCGAUUGGAAAAUACAAUGUCUUACUCUUCAUAUAAAUAGACAUGAGACUUAUUGAGAAUUUUAUCUGCAGCGUGUGUUCUCAUACUUUCACAUGAAAUCUUGAAGGAAAGUAGACCCAAGGCUAUGUGGAUGGCAGCGGUUGCUCGGAGAAGAGAAUAAGCAGGGGUGCGAGGGAGUGAUGUGGACUGCGGAACGGAAGGAAGGGGAGGGAAGCUGCGUCCCUGAACUAUGCCCAUAGCUUUACAUCAAACUUCAUUGCAACUCUUGUUAGAUCCUAGCGGAUUAGUAUGAUUUUGGGUGCUGAAAGAAGCUGGCACUAUCAUGGACAUGUUUGUCUCGGGGCCCCUUCAGGAAUUUGCAGUUACCCCAUUAAUGAGUUUUAGUUAAUUAAUAUUCUAGGUUUCAUUGUGCCCCAGUUUCCUCUUGGGACGUUGGCCCUGAGGUGCGAACUCCAUCAUCCAUGUCAAUAUAAGGAUUGUGUGACUUAGCUCUUUUUCGAGUUAUCUCGUACAUGACCCAGUGAAGUAAAC
This 2143-nucleotide long non-coding RNA is filed under the name Triticum aestivum (bread wheat). RNAcentral describes it as "long non-coding RNA (TAES_LNC015975)". Lineage: Eukaryota; Viridiplantae; Streptophyta; Magnoliopsida; Poales; Poaceae. The record is from RNAcentral.